RNAcentral lists this ribosomal RNA (440 nucleotides) under uncultured bacterium. Its description in RNAcentral is "bacterial SSU rRNA". It matches the Rfam family "Bacterial small subunit ribosomal RNA", at positions 958 to 1398 of the family's 1533-position model. The record is from RNAcentral.
AACGCGAAGAACCUUACCUGGUCUUGACAUCCCGGUGACGUAGGGGUAACGCCCUAUUCCCUUCGGGGCACUGGAGACAGGUGGUGCAUGGUUGUCGUCAGCUCGUGUCGUGAGAUGUUGGGUUAAGUCCCGCAACGAGCGCAACCCUUAUCUUUAGUAGCCAGCAUUUAGGAUGGGAACUCUAGAGAGACUGCCGGGGAUAACCCGGAGGAAGGUGGGGAUGACGUCAAAUCAUCAUGCCCCUUAUGAUCAGGGCUACACACGUGCUACAAUGGCGUAAACAAAGGGAGGCGAAGCCGUGAGGUGAAGCAAAUCCCAAAAAUAACGUCUCAGUUCGGAUUGUAGUCUGCAACUCGACUACAUGAAGCUGGAAUCGCUAGUAAUCGCGAAUCAGAAUGUCGCGGUGAAUACGUUCCCGGGCCUUGUACACACCGAUACUC